Non-coding RNA from Xyrichtys novacula (pearly razorfish), 1162 nucleotides. The record is from the annotation of a GenBank genome assembly. NCBI's taxonomy places the organism in Eukaryota, Metazoa, Chordata, Actinopteri, Labriformes, Labridae.
GUCAAUAGUUAUUAGUUAUUGAUUAUUUGGUAAUAUAUUGAUAUCUCUGUGUUCUCUUAUGUCUGUGUCGUCAACAUUUGAACAUUUUUGAGCGGUCCGCUCUUUCUGACUGUAAACAAAGCCGUUCUCCACCUCCUCUAACCUGAUUGGUUGUGAGGCAGACGCUGCUCCCCCGUGUCGUUCAGGAGCCCAAACAAAGUUAGCGUGCUACAAUAUCGGACAGUAGAAACCAACCAGAAAGUUCGGAAAAUUGUCUGAAUCCUCCUUUGGCCACGACUGCCGACACAAGCAAGAAAACACUCAAACAUAAACAGUCAGCAAGAAAACAGUCAACACCAAACCGGUCAACAGGGAAACGGUCAACAGGAAAACAGUCAACACCAAAACAGUCAACAAAAAACAGUCAGCAAGAAAAUGUCAACAAGAAAACAGUCAACAAGAAAACGUCAACCAUAAUCAGUCAACAAGAAAACAGUCAACAAGAAAACAGUCAACAAGAAAACAGUCAACAAGAAAACAGUCAACACCAAACCAGUCAACACCAAAACAGUCAACAAAAAACAGUCAGCAAGAAAACAGUCAGCAAAAACAGUCAAACAUAAACAGUCAACACCAAACCGGUCAACAGGAAAACAGUCAACACCAAAACAGUCAACAAAAAACAGUCAGCAAGAAAACGUCAACAAGAAAAAAGUCAACAAGAAAACAGUCAACACCAAAACAGUCAACAAAAAACAGUCAGCAAGGAAACAGUCAACAAGAAAACAGUCAACAAGAAAACAGUCAACAAGAAAACAGUCAGCAAGAAAACAGUCAACCAUAAACAGUCAACAAGAAAACAGUCAACAAGAAAACAAUCAACCAAGAAAACAGUCAGCAAGAAAACAGUCAACAAGAAAACAGUCAACAAGAAAACAGUCAGCAAGAAAACAGUCAGCAAGAAAACGUCAACCAUAAACAGUCAAAAAGAAAACAGUCAACAAGAAAACAGUCAACAAGAAAACAGUCAACAAGAAAACGCUGCUCCCCCGUGUCGUUCAGGAGCCCAAACAAAGUUAGCGUGCUACAAUAUCGGACAGUAGAAACCAACCAGAAAGUUCGGAAAAUUGUCCGAAUCCUCCUUUGGCCACGACUGCCGACACAAGCAAGAAAACACUCAAAC